Diprion similis is the source of this 148-nucleotide long non-coding RNA. RefSeq lists it as uncharacterized. The record is from RefSeq and is a predicted model, not a curated record. NCBI's taxonomy places the organism in Eukaryota, Metazoa, Arthropoda, Insecta, Hymenoptera, Diprionidae. The transcript is spliced from 3 exons.
CAGAUUCGUGCCCCAGCCCUGGGAUGUCGUGUCCGAUUUUGGCUCAGAAUUAGUGCCAUUGACUUCACUGACAAAGUCGUGUGAUUGGGUGGGACACGCAUCAUGCUAUUUUGAAAACUGCUUCGAUUGUGUAUUACAUGAACCGAGC